UUGGCCUACGGGAGGCAGCAGUGGGGAAUAUUGCACAAUGGGGGAAACCCUGAUGCAGCGACGCCGCGUGAGCGAUGAAGUAUUUCGGUAUGUAAAGCUCUAUCAGCAGGGAAGAAAAUGACGGUACCUGACUAAGAAGCCCCGGCUAACUACGUGCCAGCAGCCGCGGUAAUACGUAGGUGGCGAGCGUUAUCCGGAAUGAUUGGGCGUAAAGGGUGCGCAGGCGGUCCUGCAAGUCUGGAGUGAAACGCAUGAGCUCAACUCAUGCAUGGCUUUGGAAACUGGAGGACUGGUGAGCAGGAGAG
This 305-nucleotide ribosomal RNA is filed under the name uncultured bacterium. RNAcentral's name for it is "bacterial SSU rRNA". It matches the Rfam family "Bacterial small subunit ribosomal RNA", at positions 334 to 656 of the family's 1533-position model. The record is from RNAcentral.